AACGAACGCUGGCGGCGUGCCUAACACAUGCAAGUCGUGCGAGAAAGUUCCUUCGGGAGCGAGUAAAGCGGCGCACGGGUGAGUAACACGUAGGUAACCUGCCCCCCAGUCUGGAACAACUAGAGGAAACUCUAGCUAAUGCCGGAUGAGACCACGAUCCCUUCGGGGGUUGCGGCCAAAGAUGGCCUCUACUUGUAAGCUAUCGCUGAGGGAUGGGCCUGCGGGCCAUUAGCUUGUUGGUGAGGUAACGGCUCACCAAGGCUGUGAUGGCUAGCUGGUCUGAGAGGAUGACCAGCCACACUGGGACUGAGACACGGCCCAGACUCCUACGGGAGGCAGCAGUGGGGAAUAUUGCGCAAUGGGCGAAAGCCUGACGCAGCGACGCCGCGUGGGUGAUGAAGGCCUUCGGUUGUAAGCCUCGUGGAGGGGACGGAAGUAAGUACUUGGUUAACAUCCAAGAUGAUGA
RNAcentral lists this ribosomal RNA (466 nucleotides) under uncultured bacterium. Its description in RNAcentral is "bacterial SSU rRNA". It matches the Rfam family "Bacterial small subunit ribosomal RNA", at positions 29 to 475 of the family's 1533-position model. The record is from RNAcentral.